GCGAGGCCCGGGCACCAGCGGCGGCGUGGUCAGAGCGAGCCUCGCAGAAGCUGCGGUGGUUUCCGUGUGUUGGUGGAGGAACAGGCAGGUGUUGGUGGAGGAACAGGCAGAUCUCGGCGGUUUUUCCACAUGGCUGCAAAUGACUAGAUUUCACCCAUUUCUAUGGUUGAAGAAUAUUCCAUUCUGGAUGUAUAUUGCAGUUUCCUCAUCCCUUCAUCAAUGGAUGAACAGGACAACCAAGUCCCUGCAUAUCUCCUCUGGACACCACAGGUUAAACCUUCCAAGAGAUAGCAACAAUUGUCAAAACCUCUUCACCUUGAUAGCAAGGAAGGAGGAAGGACCCUGAAGACCUUUGAUGCCCCCUUUUCAGCAGCAGAAAUGAGAAGAUGAGAAUAUAAGUGCUUUAGAGUCAUGAAAUGUUGCCAAUGGGUGAAAAAAGAAAACGAAAAAUAAUUUUGUAACCGUUAAGCAUGAUGAAAAUGUAAAUGUCAGCUUUUACCAGCAAAAUCAGGUAGUAAGUCAUUUUACAAGAUGACAGUGAAAGAGUAUACAAAUGAAGAUGUAGUGCCAGAGAAUAUUUUUGAGCUAAAAGCCAUUGUUUCAUUCUGUGAUGAGCUAAAGGAUGACAUAACAACAAGCAGUCAAUGAAGAUAUCCAGAGAGUAAUGCGUGAAUAUUGUGUCUAUCCAGUGCUUUUAGACUGCUUCUUGCAAAUGGCAUUUGUCAUGCCCACAAGAACCAGAAAGAUAGAAGAAAAAGCUGUUUUUUCACCAAAGAUUGGCAAAAAUCUGGAGAGGAAAGUGGGUAUAUACAUCAAGGUCAUCUAUAGAAAACCAUUUUGAAGUGUAAAGUGUGUGGGUUCUUUACAGACAAAUAUGGUUCCAUGCUAUGAAGACUAGAACAGAUUGUGUUCAUGUAUAGUAAACAAACACAAUCUAAUGAUAACUUGCUUCUAGAAAAUGUGGAAGCCAAUGUUACAAUUCAGGUGCUUCAAAACUGUGGUGAAAUGCCUCCACGAAUUGCUCUAGGCAACGUAUUUGAAAUAGCUAAAUAUUUGCCUUAUGACUCUAAGUAUACUGGGUUUCAGAAAUGAAAAACAAGUGAGAUGGGAGAGUAGGUGAUACAAUGAAGAUUUAAAUCAAGGAUUUUAUUAUAUUUUCUUCUUGUGGAGAAUUCAAACAC
RNAcentral lists this long non-coding RNA (1181 nucleotides) under Macaca mulatta (Rhesus monkey). Its description in RNAcentral is "lncRNA (ENSMMUG00000058917.1)". Lineage: Eukaryota; Metazoa; Chordata; Mammalia; Primates; Cercopithecidae. The record is from RNAcentral.